This 245-nucleotide ribosomal RNA is filed under the name uncultured Kineosporia sp. RNAcentral describes it as "partial 16S ribosomal RNA". It matches the Rfam family "Bacterial small subunit ribosomal RNA", at positions 524 to 768 of the family's 1533-position model. Lineage: Bacteria; Bacillati; Actinomycetota; Actinomycetes; Kineosporiales; Kineosporiaceae. The record is from RNAcentral.
UACGUAGGGUGCAAGCGUUGUCCGGAAUUAUUGGGCGUAAAGAGCUCGUAGGCGGUCUGUCGCGUCUGCUGUGAAAACUCAGGGCUUAACCCUGAGCUUGCAGUGGGUACGGGCAGACUAGAGUGCGGUAGGGGAGACUGGAAUUCCUGGUGUAGCGGUGAAAUGCGCAGAUAUCAGGAGGAACACCGGUGGCGAAGGCGGGUCUCUGGGCCGUAACUGACGCUGAGGAGCGAAAGCAUGGGGAG